CCGCUCGGGGAUGCUGAGAUCAUCUCCCACGUCAUAGCUAGCCUCGACAUCGACUACAACCCCGUGAUCUUGGCCCUGGCCGCGCGGGUUGAACCGGUUAUAGUUCAAGAGCUCUACAGCCAGCUUCUGAGCUUCGACG
Non-coding RNA from Hordeum vulgare subsp. vulgare (domesticated barley), 139 nucleotides. The record is from Rfam. NCBI's taxonomy places the organism in Eukaryota, Viridiplantae, Streptophyta, Magnoliopsida, Poales, Poaceae.